GGCCUUGUAGUCUAAUGGUAGAACAUGUCCUUGACGUGGACAAAGCCCCAGUUCGAUCCUGGGCAGGGCCA
Non-coding RNA from Candidatus Pacearchaeota archaeon RBG_16_35_8, 71 nucleotides. Lineage: Archaea; Nanobdellati. The record is from Rfam.